This 797-nucleotide ribosomal RNA is filed under the name uncultured Bacillota bacterium. Its description in RNAcentral is "bacterial SSU rRNA". It matches the Rfam family "Bacterial small subunit ribosomal RNA", at positions 87 to 873 of the family's 1533-position model. Lineage: Bacteria; Bacillati; Bacillota. The record is from RNAcentral.
GUGCUCGAGUGGCGAACGGGUGAGUAAUACAUAAGUAACCUGCCAUAGACAGGGGGAUAACUAUUGGAAACGAUAGCUAAGACCGCAUAGGUACGGACACUGCAUGGUGACCGUAUUAAAAGUGCCUCAAAGCACUGGUAGAGGAUGGACUUAUGGCGCAUUAGCUGGUUGGCGGGGUAACGGCCCACCAAGGCGACGAUGCGUAGCCGACCUGAGAGGGUGACCGGCCACACUGGGACUGAGACACGGCCCAGACUCCUACGGGAGGCAGCAGUAGGGAAUUUUCGGCAAUGGGGGAAACCCUGACCGAGCAACGCCGCGUGAAGGAAGAAGGUUUUCGGAUUGUAAACUUCUGUUAUAAAGGAAGAACGGCGGCUACAGGAAAUGGUAGCCGAGUGACGGUACUUUAUUAGAAAGCCACGGCUAACUACGUGCCAGCAGCCGCGGUAAUACGUAGGUGGCAAGCGUUAUCCGGAAUUAUUGGGCGUAAAGAGGGAGCAGGCGGCAGCAAGGGUCUGUGGUGAAAGCCUGAAGCUUAACUUCAGUAAGCCAUAGAAACCAGGCAGCUAGAGUGCAGGAGAGGAUCGUGGAAUUCCAUGUGUAGCGGUGAAAUGCGUAGAUAUAUGGAGGAACACCAGUGGCGAAGGCGACGAUCUGGCCUGCAACUGACGCUCAGUCCCGAAAGCGUGGGGAGACAAAUAGGAUUAGAUACCCUAGUAGUCCACGCCGUAAACGAUGAGUACUAAGUGUUGGAUGUCAAAGUUCAGUGCUGCAGUUAACGCAAUAAGUACUCCGCC